Molecule: ribosomal RNA, 701 nt
Filed under: Curtobacterium sp.
Lineage: Bacteria; Bacillati; Actinomycetota; Actinomycetes; Micrococcales; Microbacteriaceae
Description: bacterial SSU rRNA
Rfam family: Bacterial small subunit ribosomal RNA
Source: RNAcentral
UUACACAUGCAGUCGAACGAUGAUCAGGAGCUUGCUCCUGUGAUUAGUGGCGAACGGGUGAGUAACACGUGAGUAACCUGCCCCUGACUCUGGGAUAAGCGUUGGAAACGACGUCUAAUACUGGAUAUGAUCACUGGCCGCAUGGUCUGGUGGUGGAAAGAUUUUUUGGUUGGGGAUGGACUCGCGGCCUAUCAGCUUGUUGGUGAGGUAAUGGCUCACCAAGGCGACGACGGGUAGCCGGCCUGAGAGGGUGACCGGCCACACUGGGACUGAGACACGGCCCAGACUCCUACGGGAGGCAGCAGUGGGGAAUAUUGCACAAUGGGCGAAAGCCUGAUGCAGCAACGCCGCGUGAGGGAUGACGGCCUUCGGGUUGUAAACCUCUUUUAGUAGGGAAGAAGCGAAAGUGACGGUACCUGCAGAAAAAGCACCGGCUAACUACGUGCCAGCAGCCGCGGUAAUACGUAGGGUGCAAGCGUUGUCCGGAAUUAUUGGGCGUAAAGAGCUCGUAGGCGGUUUGUCGCGUCUGCUGUGAAAUCCCGAGGCUCAACCUCGGGCUUGCAGUGGGUACGGGCAGACUAGAGUGCGGUAGGGGAGAUUGGAAUUCCUGGUGUAGCGGUGGAAUGCGCAGAUAUCAGGAGGAACACCGAUGGCGAAGGCAGAUCUCUGGGCCGUAACUGACGCUGAGGAGCGAAAGCGUG